CCUACGUGGUGCAGCAGUGGGGAAUAUUGGACAAUGGGCGAAAGCCUGAUCCAGCCAUGCCGCGUGUGUGAAGAAGGCCUUCGGGUUGUAAAGCACUUUCAGUGGGGAAGAAAGCCUUGGGGCUAAUACCCUCGAGGAAGGACAUCACCCACAGAAGAAGCACCGGCUAACUCCGUGCCAGCAGCCGCGGUAAUACGGAGGGUGCGAGCGUUAAUCGGAAUUACUGGGCGUAAAGCGCGCGUAGGCGGUCUGAUAAGCCGGUUGUGAAAGCCCCGGGCUCAACCUGGGAACGGCAUCCGGAACUGUCAGGCUAGAGUGCAGGAGAGGAAGGUAGAAUUCCCGGUGUAGCGGUGAAAUGCGUAGAGAUCGGGAGGAAUACCAGUGGCGAAGGCGGCCUUCUGGACUGACACUGACGCUGAGGUGCGAAAGCGUGGGUAGCAAACAGGAUUAGAUACCCGGGUAGUC
This 465-nucleotide ribosomal RNA is filed under the name Vreelandella stevensii. RNAcentral's name for it is "partial 16S ribosomal RNA". It matches the Rfam family "Bacterial small subunit ribosomal RNA", at positions 338 to 795 of the family's 1533-position model. The record is from RNAcentral. Lineage: Bacteria; Pseudomonadati; Pseudomonadota; Gammaproteobacteria; Oceanospirillales; Halomonadaceae.